RNAcentral lists this unclassified non-coding RNA (372 nucleotides) under uncultured Sphingobacteriales bacterium. Its description in RNAcentral is "contains 16S-23S intergenic spacer region". The record is from RNAcentral. Lineage: Bacteria; Pseudomonadati; Bacteroidota; Sphingobacteriia; Sphingobacteriales.
UCCGUUUUGUCAACGGCAGUCUCAAUAGAGUGCCCGGCCGAACCGCUGGCAACUAAUGACAAGGGUUGCGCUCGUUGCGGGACUUAACCCAACACCUCACGGCACGAGCUGACGACAGCCAUGCAGCACCUAGUUUCGUGCUCUUGCGAGCUGCCAUGUUUCUACGGCAUUCACUAACUUUCAAGCCCAGGUAAGGCUCCUCGCGUAUCAUCGAAUUAAACCACAUGCUCCUCCGCUUGUGCGGGCCCCCGUCAAUUCCUUUGAGUUUCAGCCUUGCGGCCGUACUUCCCAGGUGGAUUACUUAAUGCUUUCGCUCAGAGGCGUGCUGUGUAUUGCACACUUCGAGUAAUCAUCGUUUAGGGCGUGGACUAC